UACGUAGGGUGCGAGCGUUGUCCGGAAUUAUUGGGCGUAAAGGGCUCGUAGGCGGUUUGUCGCGUCGGGAGUGAAAACACUGGGCUUAACUCAGUGCUGGCUUUCGAUACGGGCAGACUAGAGGUAUGCAGGGGAGAACGGAAUUCCUGGUGUAGCGGUGAAAUGCGCAGAUAUCAGGAGGAACACCGGUGGCGAAGGCGGUUCUCUGGGCAUUACCUGACGCUGAGGAGCGAAAGUGUGGGGAGCGAACAGG
Molecule: ribosomal RNA, 253 nt
Filed under: uncultured bacterium
Lineage: Bacteria
Description: partial 16S ribosomal RNA
Rfam family: Bacterial small subunit ribosomal RNA
Source: RNAcentral